UACUCCAAUUUUGAAGGGAAGAAACUACAUAGAACUACAUAGAAAUACAACUGAGUGCCUUCUGCGUGCUAAGUUCAUUAUUAUCUCAAAUCCUCAGAAGCCCUGUGGGAUGGCUACUAUUCCUACUUCCACUUUACAGGUGAGGAAACUGAGUCUCAGUGGAUUUUGAGUAAUAAAUGUGAUAGGCUUAUUGCAAGUCCUGAGUUUAGUAGCGAGCAAGGAGAAAGUGACAUUUUUUUCACCUCCCCUGUCACUUCAAACCCACUCCCUUCUUUCCCACCAGGGGAUGUUACAGGUCCCAUGGUUUUCCUGGGUGACCACAGACAGGCUUCUUCUCACCUACACAGCCUGGUCCCCCGGUGCCUCCCCAAGGAGUCACGUUCUAACUCCUGGACACCGCUUGAGCUUCCUUCCCUUCCCUCUUCCCCUUCCUUCCCCCACGUGACUUACAGAGAGUGGAACAUGGCGUCCUCUCCCUGCCCGCCUGAGCGUGCGAACCCAAGCUUUAAGGUCUCUUAGGCAUCCUGGUAGGUGCUUUCUGUCUUCCAGAUGGCUCGUGGGACACAGAAUGCUUGUUCUGCCAUGGACUUUUAGACAAAACUCUGACACAACUGGAAGAGUUGCACCUAACACUCUGUUUCAAUCUUGCAAAGGACGACACAGAAAAUGGCAAGGCUGGAUCUGAAUAUGGUGCCAGAGAUCCCAAUCAAGAUUGUAUCUAGAAGGCAGAAAUCUCCAGGAAGAACUCCACCAAGACGAAUGCCUGCUCUACCCAGGCCUAGGAGAAAUAGCUGUGCAGUGCGAGGACGAACGCAUUCAUCAGCAUUCUUGUCCAGGAGUAGCUCAUCAUCCUGUCCUGUCAUUUCUGGUCACCACCAAAGAAGGCUCCCAAAAGGACAUCUAGUCUCUAGUUAAGGCCAUUAACUAGUGAAUACACUAAAUGCCAUUGAAUUGCACACUAAGUGGGUGAAUUUUAUGGUAUGUGAAUUGUACAUCAAUAAAGCUGUAUAUAUACUCUGUGUGUGUGUGUGU
This 1032-nucleotide long non-coding RNA is filed under the name Piliocolobus tephrosceles (Ugandan red Colobus). RNAcentral's name for it is "lncRNA (ENSPTEG00000022161.1)". Lineage: Eukaryota; Metazoa; Chordata; Mammalia; Primates; Cercopithecidae. The record is from RNAcentral.